GAGUUUGAUCGUGGCUCAGGAUGAACGCUGGCGGCGUGCCUAACACAUGCAAGUCGAACGGGAACCCUUGGAUUCGUCUGGGGGGGAGAGUGGCAAACGGGUGAGUAACACGUUGGUGACCUGCCCCAAAGAGGGGAAUAACCACUGGAAACGGUGGCUAAUACCCCAUGUGGUCUGUCGGUCGGAACGGCAGAUUAAAGCGCCCCAUUAGGGGCUGCGCUUUGGGAGGGGCCUGCGGCCCAUCAGGUAGUUGGUAGGGUAAUGGCCUACCAAGCCCGAUGACGGGUAGGGGCGUGAGAGCGUGAUCCCCCACACUGGCACUGAGACACGGGCCAGACUCCUACGGGAGGCAGCAGUGAGGAAUAUUGCCCAAUGGACGCAAGUCUGAGGCAGCAACGCCGCGUGGGUGAUG
Molecule: ribosomal RNA, 412 nt
Filed under: uncultured microorganism
Description: bacterial SSU rRNA
Rfam family: Bacterial small subunit ribosomal RNA
Source: RNAcentral